GGAGAAGUGCCAGAGCGGUCGAAUGGGGCGGUCUCGAAAACCGCUGUGCCUGUAAGGGUACCGAGGGUUCGAAUCCCUCCUCCUCCGCCA
RNAcentral lists this transfer RNA (90 nucleotides) under Rickettsiales bacterium. Its description in RNAcentral is "tRNA-Ser". It matches the Rfam family "tRNA". Rfam says of the family: Transfer RNA (tRNA) molecules are approximately 80 nucleotides in length. Their secondary structure includes four short double-helical elements and three loops (D, anti-codon, and T loops). The record is from RNAcentral. Lineage: Bacteria; Pseudomonadati; Pseudomonadota; Alphaproteobacteria; Rickettsiales.